AUAUUGCACAAUGGGGGAAACCCUGAUGCAGCGACGCCGCGUGGGCGAAGAAGUAUUUCGGUAUGUAAAGCCCUAUCAGCAGGGAAGAAGAAAUGACGGUACCUGAGUAAGAAGCACCGGCUAAAUACGUGCCAGCAGCCGCGGUAAUACGUAUGGAGCAAGCGUUAUCCGGAUUUACUGGGUGUAAAGGGAGCGUAGGCGGCCUGGCAAGUCUGGUGUGAAAUACCGGGGCCCAACCCCGGGACUGCAUUGGAAACUGCCAGGCUGGAGUGUCGGAGGGGCAGGCGGAAUUCCUAGUGUAGCGGUGAAAUGCGUAGAUAUUAGGAGGAACACCGGUGGCGAAGGCGGCCUGCUGGACGACAACUGACGCUGAGGCACGAAAGCGUGGGGAGCAAACAGG
RNAcentral lists this ribosomal RNA (400 nucleotides) under uncultured bacterium. RNAcentral describes it as "bacterial SSU rRNA". It matches the Rfam family "Bacterial small subunit ribosomal RNA", at positions 361 to 776 of the family's 1533-position model. The record is from RNAcentral.